GUGCCAGCAGCCGCGGUAAUACAGAGGGUGCAAGCGUUAAUCGGAAUUACUGGGCGUAAAGCGCGCGUAGGUGGCUAAGUAAGAUGGGUGUGAAAUCCCCGGGCUCAACCUGGGAACUGCAUCCAUAACUGCUGAGCUAGAGUACGGUAGAGGGUAGUGGAAUUUCCUGUGUAGCGGUGAAAUGCGUAGAUAUAGGAAGGAACACCAGUGGCGAAGGCGACUACCUGGACUGAUACUGACACUGAGGUGCGAAAGCGUGGGGGAGCAAACAGGAUUAGAUACCCUGGUAGUCCACGCCGUAAACGAUGUCAACUAAGCCGUUGGAAUCCUUGAGAUUUUAGUGGCGCAGCUAACGCACUAAGUUGACCGCCUGGGGAGUACGGUCGCAAGAUUAAAACUCAAAUGAAUUGACGG
RNAcentral lists this ribosomal RNA (414 nucleotides) under Pseudomonas sp. Its description in RNAcentral is "bacterial SSU rRNA". It matches the Rfam family "Bacterial small subunit ribosomal RNA", at positions 505 to 916 of the family's 1533-position model. Lineage: Bacteria; Pseudomonadati; Pseudomonadota; Gammaproteobacteria; Pseudomonadales; Pseudomonadaceae. The record is from RNAcentral.